This 117-nucleotide ribosomal RNA is filed under the name uncultured bacterium. RNAcentral describes it as "partial 16S ribosomal RNA". It matches the Rfam family "Bacterial small subunit ribosomal RNA", at positions 1357 to 1482 of the family's 1533-position model. The record is from RNAcentral.
CCACGGUGAAUACGUUCCCGGACCUUGCACACACCGCCCGUCAAGCCAUGGAAGCUGGGUGUACCUAAAGUCGGUAACCGUAAGGAGCCGCCUAGGGUAAAACUAGUAACUGGGGCU